This 352-nucleotide transfer-messenger RNA is filed under the name Patescibacteria group. Its description in RNAcentral is "JACPGU01 sp016188915 Standard tmRNA". It matches the Rfam family "transfer-messenger RNA". From Rfam's summary of the family: Bacterial tmRNA, also known as 10Sa RNA or SsrA, is named for its dual tRNA and mRNA-like properties. Its role is to liberate the mRNA from a stalled ribosome. The record is from RNAcentral. RNAcentral also lists the same sequence under 1 other name.
GGGCCUGCACAGGUUUCGCCAAGAAGAUCUUUGAAAAGUGGUCGCGUGCCGAGAAUGUCAUUGUCUCGCAAACCUAUGACAAAACUUACGAGCAAAAUCUAAUUUUGCCCCUGCUUACGCUUUAGCUUAAGCAGCAUCGCCCUGUCUGCCUCCCCUGUGGGCAGGUAGCGGUGUCACCAAUAGGGGAUGCUGGCCGUAGGUAUUCCUUCGUAUCGGCAGUAAGUCACCAAGGAUAAAGCGCGUUAUUUCGCCUCAAUUUUUAUCGCGUCUUGAAAAUCCAAUUGAGACUACGCACGUAGAGAUCAUUUUCCAAACUUUUUGCACGGGGGUUCGAUUCCCCCCAGGUCCAUUU